UGAUUUCAGAGACUUCCAACUGCCUUAACGUAUCCACCUUGUGAAUUGAUUAUUGCGGACACUGACUAAGGCGCUUGAAUGAGUGGAAUAAUAACAGUAGUCUCGAGCGCCUGCCCUACCUUUCCGGAUAGGAGAGAACAUGGAUAGAGGUCCAGGUAUUUUGUUUCACAUCGUGACAUGAGUCGAAGACAUUAGUUAUCCGCCAUCGUCCGGAUCAGCUUGGGUCGACACACAAAAAACGAGAAGAGUUGAGAGCCUCUGUCGAAUUGAUAUCGCAUGGCUGCCAAGAGCCUCAUCAGAGAGCUCUUGCGUCAGUGAUUGAAAAGACCAUCAAUGGCAGCCAAGGUCGUGGUCGUGUUUACAUUCGGCUUUCCUUUUUUUUUUUCACGUUAUCUUUUUCUCAUUUCUGUAUUCAUUAGAUGGCGUUGCAGGCCAUCUUUUAUUUAAAAGGCGCAAACUGUUGAUCCAUCCGGACUGAUAGCAACAACUCAACAUUUCUUUUCUUUCGACAACAACAAAAGAAAAUUUAUUCCGUAUUUAUUUAAAGAAUAAAGAAAAGCGUAGACGAAGAUGAAAAGAUUUUUAUAUUUUUCAAAGCGCGACGUGGCGCAACACGGCACCGAGUUGUUUAGUUUGUUGUAGAUCCAUUGUGGGAAAGUUCUCCCUUUAGUGUUACGCGUUCCUCUUCUUGCUUCUUUGGCCGGCUGGUUUGUUCGAUUCUUCUUCUAAAUGUUUUAUCAAGUGGGAGGAGAAGAGCUGCACGGAAAUGUAGGAAAAUACGAACCGAAAUGACGAUGAGCAUGAAAGUUUCAAGUGUCUUGUGUAUAGACGGAUAAAAGGCGAGAGGGAGAUAGAAAAUGUUGGCACGCUUAAUCCGGAACGGUUCGUUAGUUUCCAAUAAGUUAUUCGUUGUUGAAAGCCCUGCAUUAGUGAGCCACGAAAAAUGGCCUUUAGUUAUACAAAAGGAUCGAGGAAAAAGAGGGACGCUAUUCUUGUAUGCAAAUAAUUGAACAUAGGGCAACAGUUUCAUCCUUAUCCACAUCGUAUCCCUUUUUUUUUUCGUCUUACUAGUUUGUUUCCAAAAGGCCAGCAGCAGUAGAUUCCCUUUGUCUUGUGUGUCUAUACUUGUUGGGCGCUUAAGUCUUCUUCUUGUGUGUGUACAUUACCUGUCUACCCAUAGUCGAUGCUAUUCCACUAACACAAGAAUGGAUCUCUAAAUCUCUCCGCGGGGUUUUUUAAACAUACAAAAAAGAAAAAUAAAGGCUGGGAUAGACUUUCUGCUUAUGCGAUACAUUCGUCGGAGCUGAGAUGUGGGCGCGCCGACGUUCCUACCGCUGCUGCGCUCCUGCCGAGUUCGUGGUAGAUGGUCGAUGGGGGUUUACCCGCUGCCGCUAUGGCGGUAUAUGGACAGCAGCCAGCAGGGGGAAUAUGAGAGACGUGAAUGGGCAGUUUUUUUUUUAUCUUUCUCUCAAAAAUGCAUGGAAAAAAGAGGUAAAAAAUAAAAAAAAAGGGAAACUUGUGAGAGGAAAAGAGAUAAUAUUCAUAUUGUUAGACACAUAUUUUCUUUGUUACCAAUUUCUUCAAAACGAAAAUUGUUAAACCUGAAAAAGUUCUAGGCCAACCAUCCAGUAUUGAAUGUCUCACCUCCCGACAAACUAAUGCCAACCCCUUUUUUUAAAUCGUUAUUAUUUGUCUCCUUUUUUUUUCUUAAAAAGAGAAAUGAUUGAUCGAGAUGCGCGUAGAGGGUGAAUCAGCAGAGUUGCAGGAGAUACGAUCCCAUCACAUGUGGCGACCUUUUCGUGUGACAUGGCCAAAAGCUACGAUUACUCUUUUUUCUAUUUCUAUUUUUUUUCUCCUCUUCUAAAAAAGAAUGGGAUGUACCGUCGAAGCAUCACCUGACAGUCCACAAGGGGAAGGAAGAAGAAAAAGGUGAGGGCGAGAAAAGCGGACCCUUAUCGGCUAUCAAUAUCAAUUUACUCGUAUAGCUGCUGUAGUCACGGAGAGUCUCGCCCUUUUUAAAAACACACGCUUGUCCUCCCAAGAGUUUUUCUUUUGUCGUUAGUGAUGAAAAUGGGUAAACUUGGAUUGUUUACCAUUGGGGAGUUUUAAGAAGAAGAAGAAAAAGAAAAAUACCGGUGCAUACUCCCGACUUAUUUCAGCCACUCAAAUGAAACGUUUUUCGAAAGUUGAAAUGUUUUGGCUGUAAAUGCGAAUCGUGACCUUUGUAUCUGACGUUGACAUAUUCAACGGUUAUGUAUACAACAACCAAGAAUUUUGGUUGUUGCGUAGGGUAAAGGAUUUUCCCACUUUAGGCUAAUGGAAAGGGAGUUAAAUUUAAGUCCGCCACACCUGUGGAUUUGUUUUGUAUUUUUGAAUUUGCGUACCCCACCUCUCUUCUUAAACUUUUAUGAAAAUCGUUUUUUUUUUUUCGGUUGACAUAUCGCACCUGGUAAAUAAUCUGCAAACAGUUUUGUUUCCUACCCCUCCCUAAUCGUUUUCCACGAUUUUGAAGGUGUUUUCUUUGAUUUCUUACCUUACCCUUUUUUUUUGAAACGUUAUUCAUUUGAUGAAUUUCGUCGUUCGCACCAUUACCAAUUACUGGGAUCGUACACCUAUCGACAAUCAGGUAAAAACCGAUUAAACAUUAGUCAGAUACACUUAAAUAAUGAAUGUUAGGUAGGCAAUCAUUUUUUAUUGUACGUGUGUGCAGCACUUGGUACAUUUAUUCUUCCUAUUUCUUCAGCCGACAACGACCAAAAAAUAAGUUUCCUUUUUUCGAAAGACAGGGACGACAUUUUGAUAUUUGAGACUAUGAAAUAUGUUUCGUCUUUUCUAAACAACAAGGCCCACAUAGCAAAAGGGUUUCGUAAAAAAGAAAAAAAAAAACAGCCUUUUUCCAUUUUUUUCCCCCCUUUUUUUCCUUCCACAUUUUUCUGACGGCUUCCAUCCCCCCCACCCCCUAAAAAUAGAUGCUUUACAGCUAGACCUAGCUCUCUUCCACUUUAGUAGACACAUAUCUGUAUACUAUACGAGCUCCGAUGAUGGGUGCCCCUCUUCAAAACGUCACAUGUAAUGCCCGUCCACCGGUUGGCCGUCACAGAUUCAACAAGCUUGAAGAGUGCGAAGAAAGAAAGACUGUAAACGCGUUAUUAAGUGUACGCGUCUGCGGUGCGUGUUUCGUGUUACCGAUGGAGUGGGUAGAGACUGCGUGUGUAACAUGUGUUUGAUGUUGUAGUUUAUUGUACGGCGUGGUGUUGUCUAGCCAAAAAAAGAAAAAAUCGGAUUUUUCCCGACACGUUUCCGUUUCGUGUGUGCUCCAUCCAUUUUGUUGGCUAGUUGCCCUCCAUCUAUCACUCUUCUAACGUAACAGCAAACUAACGCGUGGAACUCUUAUUCAAUGGGGACUUGUUGCUAUAGAUGCAGAAAAAUGUUUUGUUUGACUUUUCAGUCCUGCAACUCGAAUUUUUUUCGAAAUGUUCCGCUUUUUUGUUUUGUUGUGUGUUCAUUUUGAAAAUCGGCUCAUGAUGAAUGAAUGCUGUUUACAAACAUGCCCAUUUGAUAUCUGUUGCGAGUCGAUCCUAUAUACAGUCUGGAUGUACUACCCCUUUCAAGUUAUGCUAAACAUUCCCAUCCGGAUGGCCCAGCAAUGUGGUUGUUCUUCUAAUUCAUUUCCGGCAGAAGAUAUAAUAAGAGCUGCAUAAGGGAACGAUUCGUUGCGUGAUACGGUGGCUAGGACCCCCCUUCAGUUGAGGCAAUUUACGCAGAAAACAUUUUCCGUCGUGAUUGCCGAACCUCAGAAACGAGAUGCGCAUAUAGUCGGCUCUCAGAUCGUUUCCAGUUUCUUAGAACAAGGCGCCUCGGGUAUAACUGAACGCCCUGAAACAAGUUUACAUGUGUGUCUGCAUGGCUGGUUGUGUGUACCCUUUGACCUGUUCUGUCACAUCCGCAAAGAAACACCAUACAAACAAAAGAAAAAAUUUAAUUCAAAUUGUAAUGUGUUGUUGUACUAAAAAUCGAAAUGCGUUUGCGUGAGACGUUAACAAAGAAAAUGAAUCCGUUGGAUGCCUUUUUUCUCAUUUGCAAUUUUGUCAUAGUUCAAAACCAUCUAGAUCCGUUCGAAGAUAAAACUCUACUCGACAUGCUACAACCAUCAUCAUCUUCUUCCAUCUUUUUUUUCCCCCUCGUCUUGCGUCUUGUUGGCCUAUUGGUUGCUACUGCUUUACUUUGCCCUUCCUGUUUUCCCCUUCAAGUUGUAAUGGUAACAUCAUUAAUCUCCAAACGACUUUGAAAAGACAGAUUUACGAGUCUAUAGAAAAGAGAAAUUUUUCUCCACCAAAAAAUACUAUAGAUCAUUUCCUAUGUGGGCGACACCUAAUCAGCCAAGACUGGCACGAUAUUGUACACACGACAAUGAUUCCAGUAGGUAAAACAGCCAUCACACAGGGCUGGACAAAAACAGCCAAUGAAAUUAAUACACUGCA
Molecule: long non-coding RNA, 4481 nt
Organism: Daphnia magna
Lineage: Eukaryota; Metazoa; Arthropoda; Branchiopoda; Diplostraca; Daphniidae
Exons: 3
Source: RefSeq, a predicted model, not a curated record